RNAcentral lists this ribosomal RNA (582 nucleotides) under uncultured fungus. RNAcentral describes it as "eukaryotic LSU rRNA". The stretch from base 212 to 365 matches the Rfam family "5.8S ribosomal RNA". Lineage: Eukaryota; Fungi. The record is from RNAcentral.
CUUGGUCAUUUAGAGGAAGUAAAAGUCGUAACAAGGUUUCCGUAGGUGAACCUGCGGAAGGAUCAUUACCUAGAGUUUGUGGACUUCGGUCUGCUACCUCUUACCCAUGUCUUUUGAGUACCUUCGUUUCCUCGGCGGGUCCGCCCGCCGGUUGGACAACAUUCAAGCCCUUUGCAGUUGCAAUCAGCGUCUGAAAAAACUUAAUAGUUACAACUUUCAACAACGGAUCUCUUGGUUCUGGCAUCGAUGAAGAACGCAGCGAAAUGCGAUAAGUAGUGUGAAUUGCAGAAUUCAGUGAAUCAUCGAAUCUUUGAACGCACAUUGCGCCCCUUGGUAUUCCAUGGGGCAUGCCUGUUCGAGCGUCAUUUGUACCUUCAAGCUCUGCUUGGUGUUGGGUGUUUGUCUCGCCUCUGCGUGUAGACUCGCCUCAAAACAAUUGGCAGCCGGCGUAUUGAUUUCGGAGCGCAGUACAUCUCGCGCUUUGCACUCAUAACGACGACGUCCAAAAGUACAUUUUUACACUCUUGACCUCGGAUCAGGUAGGGAUACCCGCUGAACUUAAGCAUAUCAAUAAGCGGAGGA